GUGGGGAAUUUUGGACAAUGGGCGAAAGCCUGAUCCAGCAAUGCCGCGUGUGUGAAGAAGGCCUUCGGGUUGUAAAGCACUUUUGGCAGGGAAGAAACAGUGCGUGCUAAUACCAUGCGCGAAUGACGGUACCUGCAGAAUAAGCACCGACUAACUACGUGCCAGCAGCCGCGGUAAUACGUAGGGUGCAAGCGUUAAUCGGAAUUACUGGGCGUAAAGCGUGCGCAGGCGGCUUUGUAAGACGGAUGUGAAAGCCCCGGGCUCAACCUGGGAAGUGUAUUCGUGACUGCAAGGCUAGAGUGUGUCAGAGGGAGGUGGAAUUCCGCGUGUAGCAGUGAAAUGCGUAGAGAUGCGGAGGAACACCGAUGGCGAAGGCAGCCUCCUGGGAUAACACUGACGCUCAGGCACGAAAGCGUGGGGAGCAAACAGGAUUAGAAACCCUAGUAGUCC
This 450-nucleotide ribosomal RNA is filed under the name uncultured bacterium. Its description in RNAcentral is "partial 16S ribosomal RNA". It matches the Rfam family "Bacterial small subunit ribosomal RNA", at positions 354 to 796 of the family's 1533-position model. The record is from RNAcentral.